This 700-nucleotide ribosomal RNA is filed under the name uncultured bacterium. RNAcentral describes it as "bacterial SSU rRNA". It matches the Rfam family "Bacterial small subunit ribosomal RNA", at positions 42 to 717 of the family's 1533-position model. The record is from RNAcentral.
UCAGGCCUAACACAUGCAAGUCGAGCGGUAGCAGGAAGUGCUUGCACUUCGCUGACGAGCGGCGGACGGGUGCGUAACACGUAGGAAUCUGCCUGGUAGUGGGGGAUAGCCCGGAGAAAUCCGGAUUAAUACCGCAUACGCCCUACGGGGGAAAGGAGGGGACCCGUUUCUUUUAUAAGGAGCGAGCCUUUCGCUAUCAGAUGAGCCUGCGUCGGAUUGGCUUGUUGGUGGGGUAAAGGCCUACCAAGGCGACGAUCCGUAGCUGGUCUGAGAGGAUGAUCAGCCACACUGGGACUGAGACACGGCCCAGACUCCUACGGGAGGCAGCAGUGGGGAAUAUUGCACAAUGGGCGAAAGCCUGAUGCAGCCAUGCCGCGUGUGUGAAGAAGGCCCUAGGGUUGUAAAGCACUUUCAGUGGGGAGGAAAGGUUGAAGGUUAAUACCCUUCAGCUGUGACGUUACCCACAGAAGAAGCACCGGCUAACUCCGUGCCAGCAGCCGCGGUAAUACGGAGGGUGCGAGCGUUAAUCGGAAUUACUGGGCGUAAAGCGUGCGUAGGCGGCCACCUAAGUUGGAUGUGAAAGCCCCGGGCUCAACCUGGGAACUGCAUCCAAAACUGGGUGGCUAGAGUACGGGAGAGGAGUGUGGAAUUUCCUGUGUAGCGGUGAAAUGCGUAGAUAUAGGAAGGAACACCAGUGGCG